UAUUAUUGGCGUUAACAUUAG
Caenorhabditis elegans is the source of this 21-nucleotide non-coding RNA. NCBI's taxonomy places the organism in Eukaryota, Metazoa, Nematoda, Chromadorea, Rhabditida, Rhabditidae. The record is from Ensembl.